GGUUUCCAUCGUGAUAUGAGAAACAAUGUCAUGAUCGAAGGAGACUUGGUGCCUGAUUUAUCUAAAGGUGGCUAGGAUAGACCAUAGACCCACUCUCUAAGUGUGAUGCAAUGAACUGCAACAGAACAAUUUGCUUCUACCCAUAAACCUGCGACGCCAAGUCGAUGCACGAGAAUGAUCCCUUCAAGAAUAGCCUGCAGCUCUAUGAGUAUAGGACAAACACCAUAGGAUGAGAAGAAUGCAUGAAUGCAUCAUCCAGAGUGAUCUUGAAUGAUACCUCACCACUAGCAUAAUCAUCCCUAAGAGACCUAUCAGGGUUGAUCUUCUAGGAUCCCACCAGUGUAGUGCAGCGUGCCAGGAACCAGGAUAGGAGGAGAAGGUGGGAUAUGGUUGAGAGCAAUACCAAACAAAGGGACAAUAUGAAGUCCCUGCACCAGUGCACGAACAGAAAUCAACAGCCUUUGUAAAGAAGGUGAUAAUUUGAUAGACCUGUCAUAUAAUCCACCGAGCCUCCAUAGUUAUAUCUUGGUGCUUCGCAUCCUUACUUGCGGUUAGUAAGAGUUAAAAAGAUGAGCAAAUGAAUGCUAGUGUGAAUGUUGCCUCUCUAAACAAACUGGCCAGAGAACUCUGAAGGCGAUAUUGAAAAUUCUCACAACGUCGAAGCGAGACCUGAAAUAUGUCAGAGAAUUGGCGAUGAACCUGGUUAGAAAUUCCGCUACCUAUGAAUAGGUGCGAAAUGAUCUCAAUCACCAAACAAAAUUGACAUCGAGAUGCCAAAUGACACCCAAUUAGCCCAUGAAUCACAACAUGAACUAAUAAUCCCUGGCACAAUCACCAACAAGAGAGAGAGAGAGAUCUUCAGAGGAAUAUUAUAGCUCCAAAUCAUGCGAUAGACAUCCCGGGGCAUGCGGCCUAAGCAAACAAGCUCCCAAUCUUGAUGAUUGUUGAAGAUAUGGAAAGAUUGUAAAGAAUAAUUUCCAUGAUAUUUUUCCAAAUAGUUAGGUAUGGGAUCUACUAAAGACUUUAGUGGAUUGACUCAAUUGUGGAAUUAUUUUGUUUAUUAGUUGAUCAUGUGAUUAUCACACAAUAUUUUCUUUUGAAGUCAUUUAUAACCCUAUAAAUAAGAUCUUCUUCUUUGUAAUAAAAAUACAAAUUUAUUAUAUACAAUUUAUAUAAUACUCUAACCUGGAAUCAGUGCGCGUUUAAUUUCAUUUCGGGUUAAAUUUGUAAGCUUUUGUUCUGUGAUGAGCAGCCUCGUGCCACUCGUCCUAUCAAGUUUUCUUGUUUUGAUUAGAUAUUCUCGUUUAGUCAAAUUGAUUUUCAUUUUUUAUAUAUUCUGUCUAGUCAAGUCUUCUUUUAUUCUUGCUUUAAUUUGGAUUAGGAUUUCAGAUUAAUUCAAAUCCUGUUAUAUGUUGGCUAUUUUUAUUGCUUCCUUCUUGGAGAGGGUUUCCGAGAAAACUGAAAAUUAGUUUUGAAAUUUUAUUAUAUAUGUAGAUGCUAGAAUUAUUUUGAAGAAAAUCAUGCUAUUUUUUCAUUGAAUUUAUUUUCAUCACAUCUUUUAUUUUAGCCUCCUCAUUUGUCAGGGUUCCUAUGUCACCCAUCUUUCUUUCAUACGUAAAUGAAAUAGUGAUACUACUCAUAGAUUUUCGGAGUGCUGCUAUUAAACAUGGUUUAUCCGUAGCCUAUAUAGUUAUUAAAAUUUUUAAGGUUUUUGUUUUGGCCUUGUUUUUUUACACUUUUGGGUGUCUCCUUCAAGACUUGCUGAUGGUUUUGUUAGAUUGGUGGAAUAUGAUUUUUCUUUCUUACCAACUUUGAGUUCUUUGUUUGGCUU
This 1831-nucleotide long non-coding RNA is filed under the name Olea europaea (common olive). Its description in RNAcentral is "long non-coding RNA (OEUR_LNC006697)". The record is from RNAcentral. Lineage: Eukaryota; Viridiplantae; Streptophyta; Magnoliopsida; Lamiales; Oleaceae.